Molecule: ribosomal RNA, 584 nt
Filed under: Haploporus sp. KUC20080606-35
Lineage: Eukaryota; Fungi; Basidiomycota; Agaricomycetes; Polyporales; Polyporaceae
Description: eukaryotic LSU rRNA
Rfam family: Eukaryotic large subunit ribosomal RNA
Source: RNAcentral
UAGUACCUGCGAGUGAAGCGGGAAAAGCUCAAAUUUAAAAUCUGGCAGCCUUUGGUUGCCCGACUUGUAUUCUGGACAAGUGUUUUCUGCGCUGGACCGUGUACAAGUCUUUUGGAACAGAGCAUCAUACAGGGUGAGAAUCCCGUCUUUGACAUGGACUACCAGUGCUUUGUGAUGCGCUCUCAAAGAGUCGAGCUGUUUGGGAAUGCAGGUCAAAAUGGGUGGUGAAUUCCAUCUAAAGCUAAAUAUUGCUCGAGAGACCGAUAGCGAACAAGUACCGUGAGGGAAAGAUGAAAAGCACUUUGGAAAGAGAGUUAAACAGUACGUGAAAUUGCUGAAAGGGAAACGCUUGAAGUCAGUCGUGUUGUCUGGGACUCAGCCUUGCUUUUGCUUGGUGCAUUUUCCAGAUGACAGGCCAGCAUCAAUUUUGACUGUUGGAAAAGGGCUAGGGUAAUGUGGCACCUCUGGGUGUGUUAUAGACUCUGGUCAUAUACAGGAGGUGGGAUUGAGGAAUGCAGCACGCCGCAAGGCAGGGGUUCGCCCACUUUCGUGCUUAGGAUGCUGGCAUAAUGGCUUUAAACGAC